Molecule: long non-coding RNA, 3442 nt
Organism: Polyodon spathula (Mississippi paddlefish)
Lineage: Eukaryota; Metazoa; Chordata; Actinopteri; Acipenseriformes; Polyodontidae
Exons: 9
Source: RefSeq, a predicted model, not a curated record
GUUUUAUUUUACACUUACAGUUCUAUGUGCGCACGCACAAAACUCAGUCUGCGCGUAUAACUACCGUCCUGCACACACACGAAACUCGGUCUGCUACGCUUACAAAUAAAUCUGCUCUCUGCGCUGGACAAUUUUGACAGUGUUUUCUCACAUAAAUAAAUAAAUAAAUAAAAUUUAAAAAAAUGUUAAAAAGCGCGUAGGUCAGGCAUCCUAGCUGAUUGUCGGCACUAUCGAUACGACAUACAGAUCAAACAUGGCUGACGUUUCAACAUCGACCGGUUCAUCGCCUCAAGGAUUACAUAUCAAUGUUUUUAUUAAAAAAAUAAAUAAAAAAAAAAAAAAAAGUUUCUUAUGCUUACCAUAACAGAGCCGCAUUUAUUUCUUACAUUGUAUUUUGUAGGUGGACCAUAAUCAGUAGUUAAGCAUUGUUAAUAUUGUAGACGUCUCAGAUAUAAAUACUGCUCAAAACCUAAUAACAGCAAUAAAUAGUACUGCAGACUCCCAAGUCAUGCACAGCAUCGCAAGACAGGGAGAGGUACAGCCACAGCAACAGAAACACAGACAGCGACAAGAACAAACGGGUCAUUCCCAGCUCUUUUUCGGAAGGGGUUGAAAGGGAUUUUCACCAUUAAAGCCAAGGAGUGUGCCGAAGUGUGUCAUGAAUCUUUUUUACUUGCUCCCAAGAAGCACAGACUGAACACUAAAAGGAGCAGAAGAACUAAAACUGAUACAGGAUGGACUAGAAAAAAGGUCCAUAUCCAUCUCUGAAGAUAUAGCCCACGCUGAGUUGUCAAGCUUGCUGUGUGAAGAAUUCCCCAAAAUGAAAUGCCUGUCAGGUGGCUGGCAGCUGAAUAAAGCAGCAGGGGGCAGUGGAUAGAGGUCACUUGUAUUUAUUCUGUCAGAAUCAGAAGGGAAGCUGCAAGUGGAGGUGGCAAAAAUUGUAUUAUACAUCGUUCCUCUACAAGAAGAAAUCGACACCACAACAUUACCACUAAAUUCCAAGGAAUUUGUAAAAAUGCCGAAAGCAGUUUGCACAAAAUGCAACGAUGAAAUGCCCUUGCAAGUCCUGGCAGUUCACAUCAACUCCUGCAGUUGUAAAAAUAAUUACAGUGACAGUGAUUCCAGCAGUGAUGGCAUAAUGAUAAGUUCUGAUGACAAAAUGGCAUGUCAGCCUGAAGUCAUUUUUGUGUCAGAGGCAAUGAACCCCCAGGAAAUGCCAUACAAAGAGACAUAGGUUGAGUGCCCAAUUUGCCAGAAGAGCUACCCCCUAGACCUUCUUGAGAUGCAUGCCAGUAACUGUGGAGUAAGCACAUGACCCGACUCGACCUCGCCCUCUAGCUGAACUGGCGUGUCCCCUCGAAGAACUCCCUCUGCUCGGUGGUCCUGUGAUUCGCCCUAGCUACUCAACUUCUCGGACCGCUGAUUCGGCAAGACUGCGCACAGCAGAACGGGUGCCCACCUCAGUGGGAGCUGGGGUAAUCGCUUCCAGUUCUCUUGUUAUUUUGCGCAGAAAUUCGGCAUGCAACGCAACCACCUCUUCAUGCUGUUGAUCAGCGUGGUCCAGCCUUUCCAAGAGUUAACCAUUUGUUUAAUAUUAUCUACACACUUUAAAAUAAGAUAAUUCAGACAAUAACUUUAUUAACAACAUUUAGCACGUGUAUUUCACAUAGGCUACUCAAAGCACUAUACAAAACAGUAAAAUAACUACAAACGGAAAGUAUAUACAUACUCUAUCACAUAAACGGCAAAAGCCAUCUCAAGUGCGUUUUUAAGCUACAUUACAAAAAAAAAACACAUAAACUCGUAUGUAUGGGGGAACAUCUUUCAUAAUCUGUUUUAAUCUAUGGAUACGCUACAGGUAAAGAUAAUAAAUUGUGCACAAUACAAUAUUUCACUUUCCGAACAUUAUGAUUAGGAUACUUACAAGGUUGCUGAACAGCUUCAGCAGCUGGUAGUUCGGGAGGAGGAGGAACAGGCAGCAGAGCUUGACCCCCCUGGCUAUCGCCUUCCUCCCGCUGCCCCACAUGUUGUUGAUCGUCAGUCAACGGGACUCGCUCAUCAACCAAGUUGUCUUGCAUGGACUUAGGUGACACAGCUGGUCCCGGACAUGAGGCAGCGGUAGAACUACCUGGCUGGUCUUCACCUGUACAGUUACAUAAUUAGAAUAUCAGUAAUUAACAGCUGGUCUGUUUUUAAGCUAUGUAAACAUAUUAUUAGAAUGCCCUCUAUCCCCAUAUAGAUUUCCAUAUUUUACAAUUGCAGCAUAGUUUAGUUUAGCAAAGUAAAUGAUGGCUGGCGCAAUUACCCUAUUGUAUUUAUUGGAGCUGGUAUUUCACAGGACGUCUGGGAGGAUGAGGAUUCCAGCAAAUGGUCCAAUGCUACAGCCACUGGCUGGUCACCCAUUAACUGGUGCAUUUCCUUCCAGAAUUGAAAUUGGGACCUCGAGCUUUGACCGGAGGACUGCAGACAUUUUCUCUCCUGCAGCAGCAGCCAGCCCCAGGCGAUGCGGAGCAGCAGGCAGCCCCUUGGCUAUCCAGACAUGGCAUCCCUGAGCGGGGCGGGCGUGGCAUCCCAGAAUAAAGAGGGCAUGGCAUCCCUGAGCGGUGCAAGGCAGGGAUCCCUGGGCGGUGGAGGCGGAAUCAGCAGGUAUUCUCCCUCUGCUGGUGUUUACCUCGGCUGUGGACGUUCGGCCUUCCCCCUCUUGGGUUGUGGAAACACCGACUCCUCCUCUUUGGCUGUGGAUGCACCGACUCCCCCCUCUUUGGCUGUGGAUGCACUGACUGCCCCCUCUUGGGCUGUGGACGUUCAGGCUCCUCUCUCUUAGGCGCACAACAUUCGGGCUCCUCUCUCUUAGGCGCACAACGUUCAGGCUCCUCUCUCAGGCGCAGGAUAGGGUGAUUUAUUGGACCACACCCUGAUUACUCUGUAUCCUGAAGCUAGAUCUGCAGGCAGUGACAUGCACAGGGGUGCCCUUAUGCCCGAAAAGUGCCCUUUUUCGCAGUUAUGCAACGCUUGAAAAGUGCCCUUUUUUCUCAAUGAGCCCCUGCCUUUUUAAUGUCCUCUGCACAUUACUUUCUACAGAUGUACUAAUAUGAGCGUCACACGCAAUAAAAUAAAAAAUAAAACCUGCUGAAACAUUUUAGGUUUAUACACCAUUAAAGUUCUUUAAGUCAUAUCUAAUGCAUAUAUAUAGUACUCAAGGCUUUGUGGAGACAAGAUGGAUUUAAAAGGAUUGUAGGUAACAAAAUAAUUCCCUAAGUUUGUCACAUCAUGCACAUCCAUAUAUUUUCUUUUUUUUUUUUUGCCAUUGUGUAUAUUCCAGUUAAAGCAGGAUAUUUGGUUCCACAUAAAGGCCUUGCUUUCAGAUAUUCUUGAACUUCAUUAGGCAUUCCACCACUCCUAGUAAGUAAUGGGGUUCUGAAAAAUACAGUUUUACACGUUU